RNAcentral lists this ribosomal RNA (253 nucleotides) under uncultured bacterium. RNAcentral's name for it is "partial 16S ribosomal RNA". It matches the Rfam family "Bacterial small subunit ribosomal RNA", at positions 524 to 776 of the family's 1533-position model. The record is from RNAcentral.
UACGUAGGUGGCAAGCGUUGUCCGGAAUUAUUGGGCGUAAAGCGCGCGCAGGCGGUCCUUUAAGUCUGAUGUGAAAGCCCACGGCUCAACCGUGGAGGGUCAUUGGAAACUGGGGGACUUGAGUGCAGAAGAGGAGAGCGGAAUUCCACGUGUAGCGGUGAAAUGCGUAGAGAUGUGGAGGAACACCAGUGGCGAAAGCGGCUCUCUGGAACGGUACUGACGCUGAGACGCGAAAGCGUGGGGAGCGAACAGG